Molecule: transfer RNA, 68 nt
Filed under: Anagonalia emeiensis
Lineage: Eukaryota; Metazoa; Arthropoda; Insecta; Hemiptera; Cicadellidae
Description: tRNA-Met
Source: RNAcentral
AAAAAGAUAAGCUAAUUAAGCUACUAGGUUCAUACCCUAUUUAUGGAAGUAAAAUCUUCUUCUUUUUA